This 468-nucleotide ribosomal RNA is filed under the name uncultured bacterium. RNAcentral's name for it is "partial 16S ribosomal RNA". It matches the Rfam family "Bacterial small subunit ribosomal RNA", at positions 28 to 507 of the family's 1533-position model. The record is from RNAcentral.
GACGAACGCUGGCGGCGUGCUUAACACAUGCAAGUCGAACGGAAAGGCCCUGCUUUUGUGGGGUGCUCGAGUGGCGAACGGGUGUGUAACACGUGAGUAACCUGCCCUUGACUUUGGGAUAACUUCAGGAAACUGGGGCUAAUCCCGGAUAGGAGCUCCUGCUGCAUGGUGGGGGUUGGAAAGUUUCGGCGGUUGGGGAUGGACUCGCGGCUUAUCAGCUUGUUGGUGGGGUAGUGGCUUACCAAGGCUUUGACGGGUAGCCGGCCUGAGAGGGUGACCGGCCACAUUGGGACUGGGAUACGGCCCAGACUCCUACGGGAGGCAGCAGUGGGGAAUAUUGCACAAUGGGCGGAAGCCUGAUGCAGCAACGCCGCGGGCGGGAUGACGGCCUUCGGGUUGUAAACCGCUUUCGCCUGUGACGAAGCGUGAGUGACGGUAAUGGGUAAAGAAGCACCGGCUAACUACGUG